This 402-nucleotide ribosomal RNA is filed under the name uncultured bacterium. Its description in RNAcentral is "bacterial SSU rRNA". It matches the Rfam family "Bacterial small subunit ribosomal RNA", at positions 355 to 774 of the family's 1533-position model. The record is from RNAcentral.
UGGGGAAUCUUGCACAAUGGGGGAAACCCUGAUGCAGCGACGCCGCGUGAGCGAUGAAGCCCUUCGGGGUGUAAAGCUCUUUCGGCAGGGAAGAUGAUGACGGUACCUGCAGAAGCAGCUGCGGCUAACUACGUGCCAGCAGCCGCGGUAAUACGUAGGCAGCAAGCGUUGUUCGGAGUUACUGGGCGUAAAGAGUGCGUAGGCGGUUUUCUAAGUUCGGUGUGAAAUCUCCCGGCUUAACUGGGAGGGUGCGCCGAAGACUGGGAAGCUGGAGUGUGGGAAAGGCUGGCGGAAUUCCGGGUGGAGCGGUGAAAUGCGUAGAUAUCAGGAGGAACACCGGCGGUGUAGACGGCUUGCUAGACCAUAACUGACGCUGAGGCACGAAAGCGUGGGUAGCAAACA